This 425-nucleotide ribosomal RNA is filed under the name uncultured bacterium. RNAcentral's name for it is "partial 16S ribosomal RNA". It matches the Rfam family "Bacterial small subunit ribosomal RNA", at positions 354 to 796 of the family's 1533-position model. The record is from RNAcentral.
GUGGGGAAUAUUGGACAAUGGGCGAAAGCCUGAUCCAGCCAUGCCGCGUGAGUGAUGAAGGCCUUAGGGUUGUAAUGCUCUUUUAGCGGGGAAGAUAAUGACGGUACCCGCAGAAUAAGCCCCGGCUAACUUCGUGCCAGCAGCCGCGGUAAUACGAAGGGGGCUAGCGUUGUUCGGAAUUACUGGGCGUAAAGCGCACGUAGGCGGAUUGACAAGUCAGGGGUGAAAUCCCGGGGCUCAACCUCGGAACUGCCUUUGAUACUGUCAGUCUAGAGUCCGGAAGAGGUGGGUGGAAUUCCUAGUGUAGAGGUGAAAUUCGCAGAUAUUAGGAAGAACACCGGUGGCGAAGGCGGCCCACUGGUCCGGAACUGACGCUGAGGUGCGAAAGCGUGGGGAGCAAACAGGAUUAGAAACCCUUGUAGUCC